This 288-nucleotide unclassified non-coding RNA is filed under the name Gynochthodes ammitia. RNAcentral describes it as "partial external transcribed spacer". The record is from RNAcentral. Lineage: Eukaryota; Viridiplantae; Streptophyta; Magnoliopsida; Gentianales; Rubiaceae.
UGGUUUCCUGUGUUGCAUACCUACGUAGACGGAAUUGUGUUGGCCAAUCCUUCCCACGUUCGCCUAGCGCUGCCCGUUCGCACGGCGCGGCUACGGGUGAACCCCGAAGCGAGACCCGUGUUCCGCGACGUCCGCGCAUCGCGUCGUCGUCGUCGCGGCCCUCGGGUUCCCGCUCGACCUCUGGGAUGCGGAAAACGCUACGGGCACGGGGUCCCCGACCCCUUUUUGCCCACGAAAUUGGCGUCACACGCCACGUUCGAACGACGUUCGGCGCCGCACUGACGUGAC